GAUGAAGAACGUAGCGAAAUGCGAUAAGUAAUGUGAAUUGCAGAAUUCAGUGAAUCAUCGAAUCUUUGAACGCACCUUGCACCCUUUGGCAUUCUGAAGGGUAUGCUCGUUUGAGUGUCAUUGUACUCUCACACUCCCGAUCUUUGCAUUGGGAGCAGUGGACUUGGGUUUGCUGCUUCACCGUCGCUUACCUCAAAUAGGUUAGUGCAACUCUUGGUUGGACAUAGUACGGCGUGAUAAGUGUUCUUCGCCGGUGCAUCGCAAAGAGGGUGGCCGAUCGGGAUGUUGUGCUCCAAACCGUCUUCGGACAAUCUCUGACGACUUGACCUCAAAUCGAGUAAGACUACCCGCUGAACUUAAGCAUAUCAAUAAGCGGAGGA
RNAcentral lists this unclassified non-coding RNA (380 nucleotides) under soil metagenome. RNAcentral describes it as "partial contains 5.8S ribosomal RNA, internal transcribed spacer 2, and large subunit ribosomal RNA". The stretch from base 1 to 120 matches the Rfam family "5.8S ribosomal RNA", at positions 35 to 154 of the family's 154-position model. The record is from RNAcentral.